This 253-nucleotide ribosomal RNA is filed under the name uncultured prokaryote. RNAcentral's name for it is "partial 16S ribosomal RNA". It matches the Rfam family "Bacterial small subunit ribosomal RNA", at positions 524 to 776 of the family's 1533-position model. The record is from RNAcentral.
AACGUAGGAGGCGAGCGUUAUCCGGAGUUACUGGGCGUAAAGCGCGUGUAGGUGGCUGGUUACGUCUGCUGUGAAAGAUCCCGGCUUAACCGGGAAGAGGCGGUAGAUACGGAUCAGCUAGAGGGUGACAGAGGAGCGUAGAAUUCCGGGUGUAGUGGUGAAAUGCGUAGAGAUCCGGAGGAAUACCAGUGGCGCAAGCGGCGCUCUGGGUCGAGCCUGACACUGAGACGCGAAGGCAUGGGGAGCGAACGGG